RNAcentral lists this ribosomal RNA (108 nucleotides) under Azorhizobium sp. 39-67-5. RNAcentral describes it as "partial 23S ribosomal RNA". It matches the Rfam family "Bacterial large subunit ribosomal RNA", at positions 2664 to 2762 of the family's 2925-position model. The record is from RNAcentral. Lineage: Bacteria; Pseudomonadati; Pseudomonadota; Alphaproteobacteria; Hyphomicrobiales; Xanthobacteraceae.
UGAUUGAGGGACGGGGGCUGCUCCUAGUACGAGAGGACCGGAGUGGACGUACCGCUGGUGUACCUGUUGUUUCGCCAGAAGCAUCGCAGGGUAGCUAUGUACGGAAGA